This is a non-coding RNA of Cercophora samala, 95 nucleotides long. The record is from the annotation of a GenBank genome assembly. Lineage: Eukaryota; Fungi; Ascomycota; Sordariomycetes; Sordariales; Lasiosphaeriaceae.
GGGUGCAUGGUCUAGUGGUAUGAUUUUCGCUUCGCAUCUUUCCAAAGGCGCGAUUACAUUGUGAACGGUCCCCGGUUCAAUCCCGGGUGCAUCCA